Molecule: non-coding RNA, 27 nt
Filed under: Rattus norvegicus (Norway rat)
Lineage: Eukaryota; Metazoa; Chordata; Mammalia; Rodentia; Muridae
Source: RNAcentral
GGCUAAAUUCCCAAGUGUGCUACAAGC